CCUACGGGGGGCUGCAGUGGGGAAUAUUGGACAAUGGGGGCAACCCUGAUCCAGCCAUGCCGCGUGUGUGAAGAAGGCCCUCGGGUUGUAAAGCACUUUCAGUGAGGAAGAACGCCUGGUGGUUAAUACCCAUCAGGAAAGACAUCACUCACAGAAGAAGCACCGGCUAACUCCGUGCCAGCAGCCGCGGUAAUACGGAGGGUGCGAGCGUUAAUCGGAAUUACUGGGCGUAAAGCGCGCGUAGGUGGCUUGAUAAGCCGGUUGUGAAAGCCCCGGGCUCAACCUGGGAACGGCAUCCGGAACUGUCAAGCUAGAGUGCAGGAGAGGAAGGUAGAAUUCCCGGUGUAGCGGUGCAAUGCGUAGAGAUCGGGCGGAAUACCAGUGGCGAAGGCGGCCUUCUGGACUGACACUGACACUGAGGUGCGAAAGCGUGGGUAGCAAACAGGCUUAGAUACCCGGGUAGUC
Molecule: ribosomal RNA, 465 nt
Filed under: Vreelandella stevensii
Lineage: Bacteria; Pseudomonadati; Pseudomonadota; Gammaproteobacteria; Oceanospirillales; Halomonadaceae
Description: partial 16S ribosomal RNA
Rfam family: Bacterial small subunit ribosomal RNA
Source: RNAcentral